GGGAGCCGAAGGGAAACCGAGUCUUAACUGGGCGUUAAGUUGCAGGGUAUAGACCCGAAACCCGGUGAUCUAGCCAUGGGCAGGUUGAAGGUUGGGUAACACUAACUGGAGGACCGAACCGACUAAUGUUGAAAAAUUAGCGGAUGACUUGUGGCUGGGGGUGAAAGGCCAAUCAAACCGGGAGAUAGCUGGUUCUCCCCGAAAGCUAUUUAGGUAGCGCCUCGUGAACUCAUCUUCGGGGUAGAGCACUGUUUCGGCUAGGGGGGCCAUCCCGGCUUACCAACCGAUGCAAACUACGAAUACCGAAGAAUGUUAUCACGGGAGACACACGGCGGGUGCUAACGUCCGUCGUGAAGAGGGAAACAACCCAGACCGCCAGCUAAGGUCCCAAAGUCAUGGUUAAGUGGGAAACGAUGUGGGAAGGCACAGACAGCCAGGGAUGUUGGCUUAGAAGCAGCCAUCAUUUAAAGAAAGCGUAAUAGCUCACUGGUCGAGUCGGCCUGCGCGGAAGAUGUAACGGGGCUAAACCAUGCACCGAAGCUGCGGCAGCGACACUAUGUGUUGUUGGGUAGGGGAGCGUUCUGUAAGCCGUUGAAGGUGGCCUGUGAGGGUUGCUGGAGGUAUCAGAAGUGCGAAUGCUGACAUAAGUAACGAUAAAGCGGGUGAAAAGCCCGCUCGCCGGAAGACCAAGGGUUCCUGUCCAACGUUAAUCGGGGCAGGGUGAGUCGACCCUAAGGCGAGGCCGAAAGGCGUAGUCGAUGGGAAACAGGUUAAUAUUCCUGUACUUGGUGUUACUGCGAAGGGGGGACGGAGAAGGCUAUGUUAGCCGGCGACGGUUGUCCCGGUUUAAGCAUGUAGGCGGAACGAUUAGGUAAAUCCGGUCGUUUAUUAACGCUGAGGUGUGAUGACGAGGCACUACGGUGCUGAAGUAACAAAUGCCUGCUUCCAGGAAAAGCCUCUAAGCAUCAGGUAACAUCAAAUCGUACCCCAAACCGACACAGGUGGUCAGGUAGAGAAUACCAAGGCGCUUGAGAGAACUCGGGUGAAGGAACUAGGCAAAUGGUGCCGUAACUUCGGGAGAAGGCACGCUGAUAUGUAGGUGAAGCCCCUGCGGGUGGAGCUGAAAUCAGUCGAAGAUACCAGCUGGCUGCAACUGUUUAUUAAAAACACAGCACUGUGCAAACACGAAAGUGGACGUAUACGGUGUGACGCCUGCCCGGUGCCGGAAGGUUAAUUGAUGGGGUUAGCGGCAACGCGAAGCUCUUGAUCGAAGCCCCGGUAAACGGCGGCCGUAACUAUAACGGUCCUAAGGUAGCGAAAUUCCUUGUCGGGUAAGUUCCGACCUGCACGAAUGGCGUAAUGAUGGCCAGGCUGUCUCCACCCGAGACUCAGUGAAAUUGAACUCGCUGUGAAGAUGCAGUGUACCCGCGGCAAGACGGAAAGACCCCGUGAACCUUUACUAUAGCUUGACACUGAACACUGGUCCUUGAUGUGUAGGAUAGGUGGGAGGCUUUGAAGUGUGGACGCCAGUCUGCAUGGAGCCGUCCUUGAAAUACCACCCUUUAAUGGCUGGUGUUCUAACGUAGACCCGUGAUCCGGGUUGCGGACAGUGUCUGGUGGGUAGUUUGACUGGGGCGGUCUCCUCCCAAAGAGUAACGGAGGAGCACGAAGGUUAGCUAAUCCUGGUCGGACAUCAGGAGGUUAGUGCAAUGGCAUAAGCUAGCUUGACUGCGAGAGUGACGGCUCGAGCAGGUGCGAAAGCAGGUCAUAGUGAUCCGGUGGUUCUGAAUGGAAGGGCCAUCGCUCAACGGAUAAAAGGUACUCCGGGGAUAACAGGCUGAUACCGCCCAAGAGUUCAUAUCGACGGCGGUGUUUGGCACCUCGAUGUCGGCUCAUCACAUCCUGGGGCUGAAGUAGGUCCCAAGGGUAUGGCUGUUCGCCAUUUAAAGUGGUACGCGAGCUGGGUUUAGAACGUCGUGAGACAGUUCGGUCCCUAUCUGCCGUGGGCGCUGGAGAAUUGAGGGGGGCUGCUCCUAGUACGAGAGGACCGGAGUGGACGCAUCACUGGUGUUCGGGUUGUCAUGCCAAUGGCACUGCCCGGUAGCUAAAUGCGGAAAAGAUAAGUGCUGAAAGCAUCUAAGCACGAAACUUGCCCCGAGAUGAGUUCUCCCUGAGACUUUAAGUCUCCUGAAGGAACGUUGAAGACGACGACGUUGAUAGGUCGGGUGUGUAAGCGCAGCGAUGCGUUGAGCUAACCGAUACUAAUGAACCGUGAGGCUUAACCUUACAACGCCGAAG
RNAcentral lists this ribosomal RNA (2298 nucleotides) under Lelliottia nimipressuralis. Its description in RNAcentral is "bacterial LSU rRNA". It matches the Rfam family "Bacterial large subunit ribosomal RNA", at positions 661 to 2925 of the family's 2925-position model. Lineage: Bacteria; Pseudomonadati; Pseudomonadota; Gammaproteobacteria; Enterobacterales; Enterobacteriaceae. The record is from RNAcentral. RNAcentral also lists the same sequence under 1 other name.